This 484-nucleotide ribosomal RNA is filed under the name Cryptops pictus. RNAcentral describes it as "partial 16S ribosomal RNA". It matches the Rfam family "Bacterial large subunit ribosomal RNA", at positions 1829 to 2600 of the family's 2925-position model. Lineage: Eukaryota; Metazoa; Arthropoda; Chilopoda; Scolopendromorpha; Cryptopidae. The record is from RNAcentral.
GGCAUUAAGGGUAAUCAUUUAAUGUCUGGCCUGCCCUAUGGCUCAAGGCUAAAUGGCCGCAGUAUCUUGACUGUGUAAAGGUAGCAUAAUCAAUUGUCUAUUAAUUGUAGGCUUGAAUGAAAGGUUUAACCUAGUUUUACUUUUUUAGCCAUUAUUAGUGAAUUUAUAAGUUUUGUAAAAAUACAAAAAUGAAAGUAGGGGACGAGAAGACCCUAUUGAGCUUUAUACUAAGGUUUCAUACUUAUUACAAAUGGUAGAGUGUAUAGGCUGGUGUAUUUUACUGGGGCGGUAGGUUCGCAAAAAACGCAAUUUUUGUUGGUCCACUAAUCGUGAGUUUAGGAUUAAGUUACUGUAGGGAUAACAGCUUAAUUUUGCUUGAUAGUUCUUAUUGAUGGCAGGGUUUGUGACCUCGAUGUUGGUUUAAGGUACCUAUAUAGAAGUAUAAAGUUUGUAAGGUGGUUUGUUCAACCAUUAAACCCUUAUG